UAGGGAAUAUUGGGCAAUGGACGGAAGUCUGACCCAGCCAUGCCGCGUGCAGGAAGAAGGCGCUCAGCGUUGUAAACUGCUUUUAUCGGGGAAGAACGGCAGUCCUGCGGGAUUGUGUGACGGUACUCGAGGAAUAAGCACCGGCUAACUCUGUGCCAGCAGCCGCGGUAAUACAGAGGGUGCAAGCGUUAAUCGGAAUUACUGGGCGUAAAGCGCGCGUAGGUGGUUUGUUAAGUUGAAUAUGAAAUCCCCGGGCUCAACCUGGGAACUGCAUCCAAAACUGGCAAGCUAGAGUAUGGUAGAGGGUAGUGGAAUUUCCUGUGUAGCGGUGAAAUGCGUAGAUAUGCGGAGGAACACCGAUGGCGAAGGCAAUCCCCUGGACCUGUACUGACGCUCAUGCACGAAAGCGUGGGGAGCAAACA
This 422-nucleotide ribosomal RNA is filed under the name uncultured bacterium. RNAcentral's name for it is "bacterial SSU rRNA". It matches the Rfam family "Bacterial small subunit ribosomal RNA", at positions 355 to 774 of the family's 1533-position model. The record is from RNAcentral.